UACGAAGGGGGCUAGCGUUGUUCGGAAUUACUGGGCGUAAAGCGGGUGUAGGCGGAUCUUUAAGUCGGAGGUGAAAGCACAGGGCUCAACCCUGGAACUGCCUUCGAUACUGGAGAUCUGGAGUGUGGGAGAGGUGAGUGGAAUUCCGAGUGGAGAGGUGAAAUUCGUAGAUAUUCGGAGGAACACCAGAGGCGAAGGCGGCUCACUGGCCCACUACUGACGCUGAGACCCGAAAGCGUGGGGAGCAAACAGG
This 253-nucleotide ribosomal RNA is filed under the name uncultured bacterium. RNAcentral describes it as "partial 16S ribosomal RNA". It matches the Rfam family "Bacterial small subunit ribosomal RNA", at positions 524 to 776 of the family's 1533-position model. The record is from RNAcentral.